UCCAGACUCCUACGGGAGGCAGCAGUGAGGAAUAUUGGUCAAUGGGCGGAAGCCUGAACCAGCCAAGUCGCGUGAGGGAAGAAGGCCCUGCGGGUCGCAGACCUCUUUGGACGGGGAGCAAGGCCGCCGACGUGUCGGCGGAAGGAGAGUACCCGUAGAACAAGCAUCGGCUAACUCCGUGCCAGCAGCCGCGGUAAUACGUAGGGGGCAAGCGUUAUCCGGAUUUACUGGGUGUAAAGGGGGCGCAGACGGCGAUGCAAGCCAGGAGUGAAAGCCCGGGGCCCAACCCCGGGACUGCUCUUGGAACUGCGUGGCUGGAGUGCAGGAGGGGCAGGCGGAAUUCCUGGUGUAGCGGUGAAAUGCGUAGAUAUCAGGAGGAACACCAGUGGCGAAGGCGACUUUCUGGACUGUACCUGACGCUGAGGCGCGAAAGCGUGGGUAGCGAACGGGAUUAGAUACCCCCGUAUA
RNAcentral lists this ribosomal RNA (468 nucleotides) under uncultured bacterium. RNAcentral's name for it is "partial 16S ribosomal RNA". It matches the Rfam family "Bacterial small subunit ribosomal RNA", at positions 330 to 794 of the family's 1533-position model. The record is from RNAcentral.